GUAAGCGCAAGUCAUCAGCUUGCGUUGAUUACGUCCCUGCCCUUUGUACACACCGCCCGUCGCUACUACCGAUUGAAUGGCUCAGUGAGGCGUCCGGACUGGCCCAGAGUGGUGGGCAACUACCGCUCAGGGCCGGAAAGCUCUCCAAACUCGGUCAUUUAGAGGAAGUAAAAGUCGUAACAAGGUCUCCGUUGGUGAACCAGCGGAGGGAUCAUUA
Molecule: ribosomal RNA, 217 nt
Filed under: Hypomyces chrysospermus
Lineage: Eukaryota; Fungi; Ascomycota; Sordariomycetes; Hypocreales; Hypocreaceae
Description: partial 18S rRNA
Rfam family: Eukaryotic small subunit ribosomal RNA
Source: RNAcentral